Molecule: ribosomal RNA, 1304 nt
Filed under: uncultured bacterium
Lineage: Bacteria
Description: partial 16S ribosomal RNA
Rfam family: Bacterial small subunit ribosomal RNA
Source: RNAcentral
GAGGGGUAUAGUAGCAAUACUAGAGACCGGCGCACGGGUGCGUAACGCGUAUGCAAUCUACCUUUUGCAGAGGGAUAGCCCAGAGAAAUUUGGAUUAAUACCUCAUAGUAUAGCGACAUCGCAUGAUGAUGCUAUUAAAGUCACAACGGCAAAAGAUGAGCAUGCGUCCCAUUAGCUAGUUGGUAAGGUAACGGCUUACCAAGGCAACGAUGGGUAGGGGUCCUGAGAGGGAGAUCCCCCACACUGGUACUGAGACACGGACCAGACUCCUACGGGAGGCAGCAGUGAGGAAUAUUGGACAAUGGGCGCAAGCCUGAUCCAGCCAUGCCGCGUGCAGGAUGACGGUCCUAUGGAUUGUAAACUGCUUUUGUACAGGAAGAAACAUUGGUUCGUGAACCAACUUGACGGUACUGUAGGAAUAAGGAUCGGCUAACUCCGUGCCAGCAGCCGCGGUAAUACGGAGGAUCCAAGCGUUAUCCGGAAUCAUUGGGUUUAAAGGGUCCGUAGGCGGUUUGGUAAGUCAGUGGUGAAAGCCCAUCGCUCAACGGUGGAACGGCCAUUGAUACUGCCAGACUUGAAUUACUGGGAAGUAACUAGAAUAUGUAGUGUAGCGGUGAAAUGCUUAGAGAUUACAUGGAAUACCAAUUGCGAAGGCAGGUUACUACCAGUGGAUUGACGCUGAUGGACGAAAGCGUGGGUAGCGAACAGGAUUAGAUACCCUGGUAGUCCACGCCCUAGACGAUGUCAACUGGUUGUUGGGAAGGUUCCUUCUCAGUAACGUAGCUAACGCGUGAAGUUGACCGCCUGGGGAGUACGGCCGCAAGGUUGAAACUCAAAGGAAUUGACGGGGACCCGCACAAGCGGUGGAUGAUGUGGUUUAAUUCGACGCAACGCGAAAAACCUUACCUACCCUUGACAUGGCUGGAAUCCUGCAGAGAUGUGGGAGUGCUCGAAAGAGAACCAGCACACAGGUGCUGCAUGGCCGUCGUCAGCUCGUGUCGUGAGAUGUUGGGUUAAGUCCCGCAACGAGCGCAACCCUUGUCAUUAGUUGCUACGAAAGGGCACUCUAAUGAGACUGCCGGUGACAAACCGGAGGAAGGUGGGGAUGACGUCAGGUCAUCAUGGCCCUUAUGGGUAGGGCUACACACGUCAUACAAUGGACGGUACAGAGGGCUGCCAACCCGCGAGGGGGAGCUAAUCCCAGAAAACCGUUCGUAGUCCGGAUCGCAGUCUGCAACUCGACUGCGUGAAGUCGGAAUCGCUAGUAAUCGCGGAUCAGCUUGCCGCGGUGAAUACGUUCCCGG